AUGAACGCUGGCGGCGUGCCUAAUACAUGCAAGUCGAGCGAACAGAUGAGGAGCUUGCUCCUCUGACGUUAGCGGCGGACGGGUGAGUAACACGUGGAUAACCUACCUAUAAGACUGGGAUAACUUCGGGAAACCGGAGCUAAUACCGGAUAAUAUAUUGAACCGCAUGGUUCAAUAGUGAAAGACGGUUUUGCUGUCACUUAUAGAUGGAUCCGCGCCGCAUUAGCUAGUUGGUAAGGUAACGGCUUACUAAGGCAACGAUGCGUAGCCGACCUGAGAGGGUGAUCGACCACACUGGAACUGAGACACGGUCCAGACUCCUACGGGAGGCAGCAGUAGGGAAUCUUCCGCAAUGGGCGAAAGCCUGACGGAGCAACGCCGCGUGAGUGAUGAAGGUCUUCGGAUCGUAAAACUCUGUUAUUAGGGAAGAACAAAUGUGUAAGUAACUAUGCACGUCUUGACGGUACCUAAUCAGAAAGCCACGGCUAACUACGUG
RNAcentral lists this ribosomal RNA (496 nucleotides) under uncultured bacterium. RNAcentral's name for it is "partial 16S ribosomal RNA". It matches the Rfam family "Bacterial small subunit ribosomal RNA", at positions 29 to 507 of the family's 1533-position model. The record is from RNAcentral.